GACGAACGCUGGCGGCGUGCCUAAUACAUGCAAGUCGAGCGAAUGGAUUAAGAGCUUGCUCUUAUGAAGUUAGCGGCGGACGGGUGAGUAACACGUGGGUAACCUGCCCAUAAGACUGGGAUAACUCCGGGAAACCGGGGCUAAUACCGGAUAACAUUUUGAACCGCAUGGUUCGAAAUUGAAAGGCGGCUUCGGCUGUCACUUAUGGAUGGACCCGCGUCGCAUUAGCUAGUUGGUGAGGUAACGGCUCACCAAGGCAACGAUGCGUAGCCGACCUGGGAGGGUGAUCGGCCAAACUGGGACUGAGACACGGCCCAGACUCCUGCGGGAGGCAGCAGUAGGGUAUCUUCCGCAAUGGACGAAAGUCUGACGGAGCAACGCCGCGUGAGUGAUGAAGGCUUUCGGGUCGUAAAACUCUGUUGUUAGGGAAGAACAAGUGCUAGUUGAAUAAGCUGGCACCUUGACGGUACCUAACCAGAAAGCCACGGCUAACUACGUGCCAGCAGCCGCAGUAA
This 515-nucleotide ribosomal RNA is filed under the name uncultured bacterium. Its description in RNAcentral is "partial 16S ribosomal RNA". It matches the Rfam family "Bacterial small subunit ribosomal RNA", at positions 28 to 523 of the family's 1533-position model. The record is from RNAcentral.